GGAAUAUUGCACAAUGGAGGAAACUCUGAUGCAGUGACGCCGCGUGCAGGAAGAAGGUUUUCGGAUUGUAAACUGCUUUAGAUAGGGAAGAAAAAAGACAGUACCUAUAGAAUAAGCUCCGGCUAACUACGUGCCAGCAGCCGCGGUAAUACGUAGGGAGCAAGCGUUAUCCGGAUUUAUUGGGUGUAAAGGGUGCGUAGGCGGCAGAUUAAGUUAGAGGUGAAAUUCCGAGGCUCAACCUUGGCACUGCCUCUGAUACUGGUUUGCUAGCGAGUAGAUGCUGUAGGCGGAAUGUGUGGUGUAGCGGUGAAAUGCAUAGAGAUCACACAGAACACCGAUUGCGAAGGCAGCUUACAAAUCUAUAUCGGACGCUGAGGCACGAAAGCGUGGGGAGCAAACAG
Molecule: ribosomal RNA, 401 nt
Filed under: uncultured bacterium
Lineage: Bacteria
Description: bacterial SSU rRNA
Rfam family: Bacterial small subunit ribosomal RNA
Source: RNAcentral